AGUCUCAGUUCGGAUUGUAGGCUGCAACUCGCCUACAUGAAGUCGGAAUCGCUAGUAAUCGCGGAUCAGCACGCCGCGGUGAAUACGUUCCCGGGCCUUGUACACACCGCCCGUCACACCACGAGAGUUUGUAACACCCGAAGUCGGUGAGGUAACCUAUUAGGAGCCAGCCGCCUAAGGUGGGAUAGAUGAUUGGGGUGAAGUCGUAACAAGGUAAC
RNAcentral lists this ribosomal RNA (218 nucleotides) under uncultured bacterium. RNAcentral describes it as "partial 16S ribosomal RNA". It matches the Rfam family "Bacterial small subunit ribosomal RNA", at positions 1284 to 1500 of the family's 1533-position model. The record is from RNAcentral.